AGAGUUUGAUCCUGGCUCAGGAUGAACGCUAGCUACAGGCUUAACACAUGCAAGUCGAGGGGCAUCAGUUUGGUUUGCUUGCAAACCAAAGCUGGCGACCGGCGCACGGGUGAGUAACACGUAUCCAACCUGCCUCAUACUCGGGGAUAGCCUUUCGAAAGAAAGAUUAAUAUCCGAUAGCAUAUAUUUCCCGCAUGGGUUUUAUAUUAAAGAAAUUCGGUAUGAGAUGGGGAUGCGUUCCAUUAGUUUGUUGGCGGGGUAACGGCCCACCAAGACUACAAUGGAUAGGGGUUCUGAGAGGAAGGUCCCCCACAUUGGAACUGAGACACGGUCCAAACUCCUACGGGAGGCAGCAGUGAGGAAUAUUGGUCAAUGGACGCGAGUCUGAACCAGCCAAGUAGCGUGAAGGAUGACUGCCCUAUGGGUUGUAAACUUCUUUUAUAUGGGAAUAAAGUGGUCCACGUGUGGAUUUUUGUAUGUACCAUAUGAAUAAGGAUCGGCUAACUCCGUGCCAGCAGCCGCGGUAAUACGGAGGAUCCGAGCGUUAUCCGGAUUUAUUGGGUUUAAAGGGAGCGUAGGCGGAUUGUUAAGUCAGUUGUGAAAGUUUGCGGCUCAACCGUAAAAUUGCAGUUGAUACUGGCAGUCUUGAGUGCAGUAGAGGUGGGCGGAAUUCGUGGUGUAGCGGUGAAAUGCUUAGAUAUCACGAAGAACUCCGAUUGCGAAGGCAGCUCACUGGAGUGUAACUGACGCUGAUGCUCGAAAGUGUGGGUAUCAAACAGGAUUAGAUACCCUGGUAGUCCACACAGUAAACGAUGAAUACUCGCUGUUUGCGAUGUACGGCAAGCGGCCAAGCGAAAGCGUUAAGUAUUCCACCUGGGGAGUACGCCGGCAACGGUGAGACUCAAAGGAAUUGACGGGGGCCCGCACAAGCGGAGGAACAUGUGGUUUAAUUCGAUGAUACGCGAGGAACCUUACCCGGGCUUGAAAGUUAGCGACGAUUCUUGAAAGAGGAUUUCCCUUCGGGGCGCGAAACUAGGUGCUGCAUGGUUGUCGUCAGCUCGUGCCGUGAGGUGUCGGGUUAAGUCCCAUAACGAGCGCAACCCCUACCGUUAGUUGCCAUCAGGUCAAGCUGGGCACUCUGGCGGGACUGCCGGUGUAAGCCGAGAGGAAGGUGGGGAUGACGUCAAAUCAGCACGGCCCUUACGUCCGGGGCUACACACGUGUUACAAUGGUAGGUACAGAGGGCAGCUACCCAGCGAUGGGAUGCGAAUCUCGAAAGCCUAUCUCAGUUCGGAUUGGAGGCUGAAACCCGCCUCCAUGAAGUUGGAUUCGCUAGUAAUCGCGCAUCAGCCAUGGCGCGGUGAAUACGUUCCCGGGCCUUGUACUAACCGCCCGUCAAG
RNAcentral lists this ribosomal RNA (1400 nucleotides) under uncultured bacterium. Its description in RNAcentral is "bacterial SSU rRNA". It matches the Rfam family "Bacterial small subunit ribosomal RNA". The record is from RNAcentral.